GAUGAACGCUGGCGGCGUGCCUAAUACAUGCAAGUCGAGCGAACGGACGAGAAGCUUGCUUCUCUGAUGUUAGCGGCGGACGGGUGAGUAACACGUGGAUAACCUACCUAUAAGACUGGGAUAACUUCGUGAAACCGGAGCUAAUACCGGAUGAUAUUUUGAACCGCAUGGUUCAAAAGUGAAAGACGGUCUUGCUGUCACUUAUAGAUGGAUCCGCGCUGCAUUAGCUAGUUGGUAAGGUAACGGCUUACCAAGGCAACGAUGCAUAGCCGACCUGAGAGGGUGAUCGGCCACACUGGAACUGAGACACGGUCCAGACUCCUACGGGAGGCAGCAGUAGGGAAUCUUCCGCAAAGGGCGAAAGCCUGACGGAGCAACGCCGCGUGAGUGAUGAAGGUCUUCGGAUCGUAAAACUCUGUUAUUAGGGAAGAACAUAUGUGUAAGUAACUGUGCACAUCUUGACGGUACCUAAUCAGAAAGCCACGGCUAACUACGUG
This 497-nucleotide ribosomal RNA is filed under the name uncultured bacterium. RNAcentral's name for it is "partial 16S ribosomal RNA". It matches the Rfam family "Bacterial small subunit ribosomal RNA", at positions 28 to 507 of the family's 1533-position model. The record is from RNAcentral.